UACGUAGGGGGCAAGCGUUAUCCGGAUUUACUGGGUGUAAAGGGAGCGUAGACGGCAUGGCAAGUCAGAUGUGAAAUCCCGGGGCUCAACUCAGGAGUUGCAUCUGAAACUGUUUUUCUUGAGUGCUGGAGAGGAAAGCGGAAUUCCUAGUGUAGCGGUGAAAUGCGUAGAUAUUAGGAGGAACACCAGUGGCGAAGGCGGCUAUCUGGACAGUAACUGACGCUGAGGCACGAAAGCGUGGGGAGCAAACAGGAUUAGAUA
RNAcentral lists this ribosomal RNA (261 nucleotides) under uncultured prokaryote. Its description in RNAcentral is "partial 16S ribosomal RNA". It matches the Rfam family "Bacterial small subunit ribosomal RNA", at positions 524 to 784 of the family's 1533-position model. The record is from RNAcentral.